GUGCCAGCAGCCGCGGUAAUACGAAGGGGGCUAGCGUUGUUCGGAAUUACUGGGCGUAAAGGGCGCGUAGGCGGCUUGGCGAGUCAGGUGUGAAAGGCCUGGGCUUAACCCGGGAAAUGCACUUGAUACUGCCGAGCUAGAGUGUGGGAGAGGAUGGCGGAAUUCCCAGUGUAGAGGUGAAAUUCGUAGAUAUUGGGAAGAACACCAGUGGCGAAGGCGGCCAUCUGGACCACAACUGACGCUUAGGCGCGAAAGCGUGGGGAGCAAACAGGAUUAGAAACCCCAGUAGUCC
Molecule: ribosomal RNA, 292 nt
Filed under: uncultured bacterium
Lineage: Bacteria
Description: partial 16S ribosomal RNA
Rfam family: Bacterial small subunit ribosomal RNA
Source: RNAcentral